ACACUUACCUGGCAGGGCAUAUGCCAUGUUCAUGAAGGUGGUUUUACCAGGGUAAGUCUUAUUUAUUGCAGUCCAUAUGUGUUGACCUCUACAAUUUCUCCAAAUAUGGGAAACUCAUCUAAAUAUAUGUGGUAGAGGAAGACUGCAUUUGCAUGCUCUUCUU
Suncus etruscus (white-toothed pygmy shrew) is the source of this 163-nucleotide small nuclear RNA. RefSeq annotates it as U1 spliceosomal RNA. NCBI's taxonomy places the organism in Eukaryota, Metazoa, Chordata, Mammalia, Eulipotyphla, Soricidae. The transcript has a single exon. The record is from RefSeq and is a predicted model, not a curated record.